Molecule: long non-coding RNA, 443 nt
Organism: Hippopotamus amphibius kiboko
Lineage: Eukaryota; Metazoa; Chordata; Mammalia; Artiodactyla; Hippopotamidae
Exons: 4
Source: RefSeq, a predicted model, not a curated record
GGUACUUCGAGGUGAACCCCCAGGUUUUCACGCUCCGGUGAAACUCUCUCCAUGUGGUGCGAUUUCUUCGCCUCGUCGCCACCCCCAGCUCCAGAGGAGCGGCACAAGGCUCCCGGUCACCGCACCGAGGCGGCGGCGGCGGCAACCUGACCCCGGCCCGGCUGUCGGCGAACACCCCUGCAGAGAGCAGAAGAGCCUCCGGAACGCGCAGCCCCCGCCCGCUACAUCUUUGGACAUCUUAAUCUUCAGCUACAUAGCAGAAGACGAAUAUCCCAGGCUCAAAAGAUAUGAUCCUGAGAGCGUCAAGUUCCUCACCACACAGAGGAAUCUAACAAGUCUGAUUUCCAUCCCAAGACAUGGGUCUCUUCAUCUAUUCUGAGCACGAAGUUUCAUUUACUUCAAAGGCGUUCCUACAGAGAGGAAAAAGAACGAGAGCCUGGCCU